Etheostoma spectabile (orangethroat darter) is the source of this 730-nucleotide long non-coding RNA. RefSeq lists it as uncharacterized. The transcript is spliced from 3 exons. The record is from RefSeq and is a predicted model, not a curated record. Lineage: Eukaryota; Metazoa; Chordata; Actinopteri; Perciformes; Percidae.
GUUUCCUUUGGCACACUGCAGGCGUGGCUCAUUCCAGAGCAUGGGUGGUUUGAAGGAGGGUGGGGGGUGCAGGGGGUGAGGGAGGUGGGUGGUGGCAGGGGCAGGGGCAGGAGAUUCGAGAGACCCACCGAUCUGACCUUGAACUGCGGGACGUGGGGCUGAAAGAGUGGCACCAUGUUCCAAAAGCUGUGGUGUGCAGCCACUGCUGCCAAAAAACGGUAUAUGGUGGAACUGAAUGUACCCGUGGGGGCCAGUAUAGCUCUCUGAGCCACUCCAGCUGCUGCAGGGGUGACAGAGGCUAAAACCGGCUGAGGCUUAGGGGCAGCUGCUCUCAGAGUGAAGCUCACACUGAAGAAGAAGAAGAAGAAGAACAAGAACCUUCUAAAGCUGGAGUCAACAACCAGCAGCUAUGUCUCUGCGAGCACACACAAACCUCUUUAAAAGUAUUGUUUGAGUGAGGCCCGUGCCUUGGACAAGGACACACUGUUAAUAGGAGAGAUAAUGGGAGUAUAGUGCCUGUGCAUCAUCUGGUUACCAAGGUUCCCUCCUUCAGCUGAUUUAACAAUUUGUAUCUUUUACUCUUUAUUACAUCUCAGCAGUGAUACAGACUGUUUAUGUAUAUCGUGUUAUUACCAUAUCACUCUCGCAUAUCUAUUGACUUACUUACACCACACUUUGCGCCUGCUUUGUAAUGCCUACUUAAUCUGCACUUUAUGUAUUCUAUUACUUG